Populus nigra (black poplar) is the source of this 1738-nucleotide RNA transcript. It is a transcript of the gene named PHAF1 protein At3g51130, with no coding region annotated. The transcript has 16 exons. The record is from RefSeq and is a predicted model, not a curated record. NCBI's taxonomy places the organism in Eukaryota, Viridiplantae, Streptophyta, Magnoliopsida, Malpighiales, Salicaceae.
GUACAUUGAAUGAAAUAAUAGAAGGCAGAACGAUGCGUGUGGACAAAUACUUGGUAUAAAAGCAUUCAACGAACGAACGAUAGAGCCUCUCGCGAAAUUAACGGACUUUUGUAACCACCGGCCAAAGCAAAAACCAAACCAAACCGAACAACCACCCAAACUAGCAAACAUGUUACACCACCAUCACCAGCAGCAGCUACAGAGACCGCGACGCCGCUGUGAAGGCACUGCUAUGGGUGUUAUCGUUCUCGAUCUUCGUCCUGGUAACGGCAUCGGCCCUUUCUCUCUCGGGAUGCCAAUAUGUGAAGCGUUUGCUCAGAUUGAACAACAACCCAACAUAUACGACGUCGUCCAUGUGAAGCAUUUCGACGAGGAACCAUUAAAACUCGAUAUUGUUAUUAGCUUUCCUGAUCACGGGUUUCACCUUCGAUUCGAUCCGUGGUCACAAAGGUUACGACUGAUUGAGAUUUUUGAUGUGAAACGACUUCAAAUGCGCUACGCGACCUCUCUUAUUGGGGGACCAUCAAAUUUAGCUACUUUUGUUGCUGUCUAUGCACUCUUUGGACCAACAUUUCCUGGGAUUUGUGACAAAGAUAGAGGCGUGUACACUCUGUUUUACCCCGGUUUGUCAUUUGCUUUUCCGAUUCCCAGCCAGUAUACAGAUUGCUGUCAUGAUAGAGAAGCGGAACUACCACUAGAGUUUCCAGAUGGCACAACACCAGUUACAUGCCGAGUCUCUAUAUAUGAUGGUUCCGCAGACAAAAAAGUGGGUGUUGGAUCUUUAAUGCACAAGGCUUCUGCUCCCCCAUUACUUCCUGGUAACCUGUAUAUGGAAGAGGUGCAUGUCAAGCUCGGGGAAGAAUUAUAUUUCUCUAUUGGAGGACAGCAUAUUCCUUUUGGUGCAUCACCACAGGAUGUAUGGACAGAAUUAGGCCAUCCAUGUGGGAUUCACCAAAAGCAGGUUGACCAAAUGGUCAUUCACUCUGCUUCUGACCCUCGCCCAAGGACAACCCUUUGUGGAGAUUACUUCUACAAUUACUUUACUCGUGGUCUGGAUAUCUUAUUUGAUGGACAGACUCAUAGAAUCAAGAAGUUUUUUUUGCACACAAACUAUCCUGGUCAUGCAGAUUUCAAUUCGUACAUAAAGUGCAAUUUUGUCAUCCAAGGUUCUGACUUAGAUAACUCCAAACAGAGUAUUACCCCAAGCACAAAAUGGGACCAGGUGAAGGAGAUCCUUGGGGACUGUGGUCGUGCAGCUAUUCAAACACAGGGUUCUACAGAUAAUCCUUUUGGAUCCACUUUUGUAUAUGGUUAUCAGAACGUUGCCUUUGAGGUGAUGAAGAAUGAUUAUAUUGCAACUGUAACUCUCUUCCAGUCAUGAUGUUUAUCUUCUCUGGUGAUGAAGAAUGAUUAUAUUGCAACUGUAACUCUCUUCCAGUCAUGAUGUUUAUCAUCUCUGGUUGGAUGCUGUGACGUUGCCUGGUGCAACUGGAUACUGUACAGUCUACUGAACAGAAAGCUGCAUAUACUGUUUUUAGUGGAAGCAUCAUCUCGGGGGAAGUUAAAUUUGAAAAUUGUACAUAUGAUCUGUACAGUAUAGUAGAUUAGUAUUGCUACUGGGGGGUUACCUUCUGUUUACUUAAAAAGAACUGCAAGCUCUGCAUUCAAUAAUUCAGGUUGCAUGUAUGAAAGCUGGACAACUUGUUUCCUCAUCUUUACUUUAAUCUUUUUCCCCUCA